ACGGAAGGCAGCAGUGGGGGAUAUUGCACAAUGGGCGAAAGCCUGAUGCAGCAACGCCGCGUGAGGGAAGACGGUUUUCGGAUUGUAAACCUUUGUCUUUGGUGACGAAAAAGAUGACGGUAACCAAGGAGGAAGCCACGGCUAACUACGUGCCAGCAGCCGCGGUAAUACGUAGGUGGCGAGUGUCGUCCGGAAUUACUGGGUGUAAAGGGAGCGUAGGCGGGGAGGCAAGUCAGUUGUGAAAUACAUGGGCUUAACCGAUGGAUUGCAGUUGAAACUGUGGCUCUUGAGAGAAGUAGAGGUAAGCGGAAUUCCGAGUGUAGCGGUGAAAUGCGUAGAUAUUCGGAGGAGCACCGGUGGCGAAGGCGGCCUACUGGGCUUCAACUGACGCUGAGGCUCGAAAGUGUGGGGAGCAAACAGGAUUAGAUACCCUGGUA
Molecule: ribosomal RNA, 437 nt
Filed under: uncultured Oscillospiraceae bacterium
Lineage: Bacteria; Bacillati; Bacillota; Clostridia; Eubacteriales; Oscillospiraceae
Description: partial 16S ribosomal RNA
Rfam family: Bacterial small subunit ribosomal RNA
Source: RNAcentral